GAUGAACGCUGGCGGCGUGCCUAAUACAUGCAAGUCGAGCGAACAGACGAGGAGCUUGCUCCUUCGACGUUAGCGGCGGACGGGUGAGUAACACGCAGGUAACCUACCUAUAAGACUGGGAUAACUUCGGGAAACCGGAGCUAAUACCGGAUAAUAUUUCGAACCGCAUGGUUCGAUAGUGAAAGAUGGCUUUGCUAUCACUUAUAGAUGGACCUGCGCCGUAUUAGCUAGCUGGUAAGGUAACGGCUUACCAAGGCAACGAUACGUAGCCGACCUGAGAGGGUGAUCGGCCACACUGGAACUGAGACACGGUCCAGACUCCUACGGGAGGCAGCAGUAGGGAAUCUUCCGCAAUGGGCGAAAGCCUGACGGAGCAACGCCGCGUGAGUGAUGAAGGUCUUCGGAUCGUAAAACUCUGUUAUUAGGGAAGAACAAACGUGUAAGUAACUGUGCACGUCUUGACGGUACCUAAUCAGAAAGCCACGGCUAACUACGUG
This 497-nucleotide ribosomal RNA is filed under the name uncultured bacterium. RNAcentral describes it as "partial 16S ribosomal RNA". It matches the Rfam family "Bacterial small subunit ribosomal RNA", at positions 28 to 507 of the family's 1533-position model. The record is from RNAcentral.